CCUACGGGAGGCAGCAGUGGGGAAUAUUGGGCAAUGGGCGCAAGCCUGACCCAGCAACGCCGCGUGAAGGAAGAAGGCUUUCGGGUUGUAAACUUCUUUUGUCAGGGAAGAGUAGAAGACGGUACCUGACGAAUAAACAACGGCUAACUACGUGCCAGCAGCAGCGUUAAUACGGAGGUGGCAAGCGUUGUCCGGAUUUACUGGGUGAAAAGGGCGUGUAGCCGGGUUGACAAGUCAGAAGUGAAAUCCUGCGGCUUAACCGCAGAACUGCAUUUGAAACUGUUGAUCUUGAGGACUGGAGAGGCAGAUGGAAUUCCUAGUGGAGCGGUGAAAUGCGUAGAUAUUAGGAGGAACACCAGUGGCGAAGGCGGUCUGCUGGACAGCAACUGACGGUGAGGCGCGAAAGCGUGGGGAGCAAACAGGAUUAGAUACCCUUGUAGUC
RNAcentral lists this ribosomal RNA (442 nucleotides) under uncultured bacterium. RNAcentral describes it as "partial 16S ribosomal RNA". It matches the Rfam family "Bacterial small subunit ribosomal RNA", at positions 338 to 795 of the family's 1533-position model. The record is from RNAcentral.